Lepidothrix coronata (blue-crowned manakin) is the source of this 2311-nucleotide long non-coding RNA. RefSeq lists it as uncharacterized. The record is from RefSeq and is a predicted model, not a curated record. The transcript is spliced from 3 exons. NCBI's taxonomy places the organism in Eukaryota, Metazoa, Chordata, Aves, Passeriformes, Pipridae.
UAUAUACACAGGGGAGGGAAAAGGGAAGGAACAGCAGGAGAAUGACCAGGUCCCAUUGGAGGUGUGUGGUGGUGGUCUGAUAGCCAACGACAGACAUUGAGCAGUGACACCUCCCCAGUCAGCCUGGGGAGGGAGGAGGGACAAUGAAGGAGAGGGGGUGGGAAGCCGUCAAGAAUUUUAUAAAAGUUAGUGAUUAGAAGGACUGGGUAUCUUUGCCUGCAAACACCUCACCAGAAGCUUGUAGCAGCAGAGGGACUGCCUACAAAAAAGAACAGCUUUGCCUGAGUAACCAGACUUACUGAGGAACAGCUCUUUAAUGGAGGUCCACAGAGAAGUGAGGCCACAACUUGAUUUAUCCACUGCAAUGAGAAUACAAGGUGCCUAACCCAUUACAUGUCUGUCUCUCCCAAGCAUACAAGUGUAAAAGAGGAGUAAAUCCAGUCAGGUCAACACUGAGCCUGCAUGAAACAGGCUAAACUUUUGAAUACUCUUCAUUCUCUCUAUCAACUGUAUUUAUCCAUUUAUAUGUUCCACAUCUGCUUCUUCAAACCCUGCUCCUUGGAAGCAGAGUCUUUUGUGUGCAGAGUUUGUAUUGCUGACUGUCAGAGAUGGAGACACCACAGCCUCUCUCUUUAUUAGUAAUUGAUCAGGAAAAGCUACAUGCAUGAGAUACAAACUGUAGUUUGAGAGUUUGGUCCUGCACUUUUGGAACCAAUUUUAUAAGAGAUGGCAAUGAAGAGACCCAAGAAAAAAAUUUACAGAUUCUGAUCCAAUCUUUCCCAUCUGCAAACCAGGACUCAGGUGAGGUUUUUUGUAAGAUUAGAAGAUGUCACUUGAACUGUUUGGAAAGAAAAGACACCAAUGGAGUAUUAAUGUUUCUAAGAUGACCAGAAGGUAAAAUGUAACAUUGUUCCUUCUGCUUUUUGUCUUGACUGUGCUCUUUGGGUCUCAAUAUUAUCAGGAUACAGUGCUUGUGCUGAUAUCCAUGAAGAUACUUCCCCUCCUCCUUCAUGGUAGCUGAGUAAAGCAUGAGAUUUCAUGAGUAAAUAUUUACUUUUACAACUGUUCUAUCCCCUUUCCCCUACCCUCACCUCCUGCUGGCCACGAGCUGUGGACUGAACAAAACUUUGAUUGCUUAAUGAGCUGCUGGAACCUGACAAACACUCCAGGUAGCCACAAAACUGGUUUGUUUUUUAUUUGGUUUUGUGGUUUUCUUUUGUUCUGCAUUCUGUGUAGUUUUACUGUUUUGUGGUUUUUUUUCUUUUAAUUUUAGAAAAAGCUAUGUAAGCAGUUACUACAAACAGAAUGCUUUGUAUUAAUGCAAUGUAAAAUCAACAUGAAAUCACUUGAGCUUCUGACACUUAGCCCACAGCCUAAAAUGGGUAAAUAAAAAGAAAAAUUCUUGAAAAACUUUAGUGGUGGGACAAUUCCCAUGUAUUGUUACUGAUACCACAGCUCAUUUGAGCUUUUUUCUUCCUGGAAAGUUGACAAAUUAAACAGAUAAAUAAGGCAAAUAGACAAAUUUGUUCUUAGAAGACUGAAAUGAGCUGUGCAGCUCUGGCAGCCUGGGCACAACUGUUUUUCCUCAGGACCUGUGAGGUGACAUAUCCAGCUCUUUAAGGGGAGACGUUAAUGUUUCUGUGGAUGUGCUAGGAGCUUGCUCUUUACAGGGUAGCUGUAUGAAACAUUACUGAAGUGUAAGGCUUCUCCACUCCCCUUUAAAUGCUCAGAGCAGGACCUUACAGCAGAGACACCCUUUUUGAAUCCAACCAUGAAGAUCCUCAGAAAUUAUGCUCCUCAUGAAAGAAUCAUAGCAAAACAAAAUCCUAAAUCAAGGGGACUUGAACAUUCUGCACCUUUGAGCUAUUAUUAGGUUUACAAUUCCUCUUUUGCUCUCAUUUCUCCAUCAUUUCAGCUAGAAACAUUGUGCCUUUUAUUCAUCCUUGUAGCUCAGCAGGGUAGCUGGAAACCACUCACCAAAGCCUUAAAGAUAAUUUUGGGGAGACUUCUGGCAAAAUUCCACCUACUCCUUCACACUCAAUGAGAUCCUUGCAUAGAAACUGGAACUAAUCUGCUGUCUUCCAAUUCAUCCUUGUGGAACUACACUGUAUGGUUUCAGCUUCUCAGAGUACUCACUUGGAACAGCAUUAUUUGCUGAAAGCUUGUAUUUCUGUACUUCUGUGCUUUGCAGGCUGGCUUCGAGUGAUAACUGGCUCUUUGUUAUCUUUAGGGAAACACUGGAAAUAAGUAAGAAAGAGCAGACAUUAGUCUCACUGUUUAUUGCAUUGCUGGAAAGAAAAUGUGCCCACAA